CAGUUACUCACUUCGUUUGGAAAAGCUUGUCCCUCAAAUUAAUGUAUCUAGCAUCAAGUUCGUGCUAGAUACAUCCAUUUGAGAAACAAGCUUGGGACAAGUUUUUUCGGACGAAGGGAGUACAUG
Triticum urartu is the source of this 126-nucleotide non-coding RNA. NCBI's taxonomy places the organism in Eukaryota, Viridiplantae, Streptophyta, Magnoliopsida, Poales, Poaceae. The record is from Rfam.